AACGAACGCUGGCGGCAGGCCUAACACAUGCAAGUCGAACGCUCCGCAAGGGGAGUGGCGCACGGGUGAGUAACACGUGGGAACCUACCUUCUGGUACGGAACAACCAAGGGAAACUUUGGCUAAUACCGUAUACGACCUCCGGGUGAAAGAUUUAUCGCCGGAAGAGGGGCCCGCGUCCGAUUAGGUAGUUGGUGAGGUAACGGCUCACCAAGCCGACGAUCGGUAGCUGGUCUGAGAGGAUGACCAGCCACACUGGGACUGAGACACGGCCCAGACUCCUACGGGAGGCAGCAGUGGGGAAUAUUGGACAAUGGGCGCAAGCCUGAUCCAGCCAUGCCGCGUGAGUGAUGAAGGCCUUCGGGUUGUAAAGCUCUUUCACCCACGACGAUGAUGACGGUAGUGGGAGAAGAAGCCCCGGCUAACUUCGUGCCAGCAGCCGCGGUAAUACGAAGGGGGCAAGCGUUGUUCGGAAUGACUGGGCGUAAAGGGCGCGUAGGCGGUUCGUUGCGUCAGAUGUGAAAGCCCCGGGCUCAACCUGGGAACUGCAUUUGAUACGGGCGAGCUUGAAUCCAAGAGAGGGUGGUGGAGUUCCCAGU
Molecule: ribosomal RNA, 598 nt
Filed under: uncultured bacterium
Lineage: Bacteria
Description: bacterial SSU rRNA
Rfam family: Bacterial small subunit ribosomal RNA
Source: RNAcentral